Non-coding RNA from Oryctolagus cuniculus (rabbit), 10598 nucleotides. Lineage: Eukaryota; Metazoa; Chordata; Mammalia; Lagomorpha; Leporidae. The record is from RefSeq and is a predicted model, not a curated record.
AUGUACAGCACACUAAGGACAAAGAUCCUACAUGAGGAGUAAGUGCACAGUGACUCCUGUUGUUGACUUAACAAAUUGACACUCUUGUUUAUGGCCUCAGUAAUCACCCUAGGCUCUUGUCAUGAGCUGCCAAGGCUAUGGAAGCCCCCUGAGUUCACUGACUCUGAUCAUAUUUAAGCAAGGCCAUGGUCAAAGUGGAAGUUCUCUCCUCCCUUCAGAGAAAGCUACCUCCUUCUUUGAAGACCCGUUCUUUCCACUGGGAUCUCACUCACAAAGAUCUUUCAUUUAGGUGUUUGUUUUUUUGUUUGUUUUUGUUUUUGUUUGUUUGUUUGUUUUGCCAGAGUGUCUUGGCUUUCCAUGCCUGAAAUACUCUCAUGGGCUUUUCAGCCGGAUCAGCAUGCCUUAAGGGCUGAUUCUGAGGCCAGAGUGCUAUUUAGGACAUCUGCCAUUCUAUGGGUCUGCUGUGUAUCUCACUUCCCAUGUUGGAUCAUUCUCUCCCUUUUUGAUUCUAUCAGCUAGUAUUUGCAGACACUAUUCUUGUUUAUGUGAUCCCUUUGGUUCUUAGUCCUAUCAUUAUGAUCAAUUGUGAACAGAAGUUGAUCACUGGGACUAGUGAGAUGGCAUUGGUACAUGCCACCUUGAUGGGAUUGAAUUGGAAUCCCCUGGUAUGUUUCUAACUCUACCGUUUGAGGUAAGUCUGCUUGAGCAUGUCCCAAAUUGCACAUCUCUUCCCUCUCUUAUUCCCACUCUUAUAUUUAACAGCGAUCACUUUUCAGUUAAGGUUCAGCACUUAAGAAGAAUUGUGUAUUGAUUACAGUAUUCAACCAAAAGUAUUAAGUAAAACAAACAAACAAAAAAUACUAAGAGAGAUAACGUUCUUAACACAGGUCUGUUUUAUUUCUGUGCCAUUUUCUUAAUCUCAUCUUGCUUGAUGUCAAAUUUCUAUUCAUUUCUUGAGGAAUAUUUAAGUAAAAGUCCCUUUAAAGCUGCUUGCACUGAGAAAUUUUUUUUUCUUUAAUCAUACCCUCACCAUGUCUACUCAGAGUAAAAGUGUUCCUAAUGAACAUGGAAAUUAAUGUACAGAGCAGUUAGAGAGGUUUAUGGCAUAUCAGACAUGGAAUUUCCUUGGCUUUAAUACCCACAACUCUUGACAUUAGUGCUAUUUGAACUUUAAAUAAUUUCUCGUUAGCAUCUGCAAGAUACAGAAAAUUUGGGGAGCUAGAUUCAUUGUAGUAUUCCAGAGAUAUUUCAGAAUUAAAUAGAACUAACCUAACUGACCAAAGUAAGAGGAGUUUAAUCAGUUUGAUCUGUUUCUGUUAAACUUAGUUUCAAGAAGCAUACCAUGUUUAUCUCCAGAUUUACAUAUGUCAGAUUAUUUAUCACUAAUUACAGUUUCCUGAGGAAAUAUUGUUAGCAUUCAAACUUAAGAGAUGUAUAAACUGAAACACAGGCAGGAAAUUUUAGGAGAUUAAAUAGUUAAAAUAUGAUAUGCUGCCUAUUAAAUAGGUAAAUACAGAUUUUGAUCAUAGUUAGAUUAGAGAUGAAUUUGGCCUAAGAAGGUAGAAAAUGAAUUCAUAGAGUCAACAAUGUUGUGAGGUUUUGACUUAAAAGUAGGAAUCUUAUAAAGGAAGAAAAAUUUGUCAGAAUGAAAAAAUAUAAGAUGAACAAGAAUAGUUCAUCUGUUGUCAAAGCUUUUUCAUUGGAAAAAACAAGCAUAAAUCUGGUAAAGCUAUUUAAGGAGAUAGGGUCAGGCUUAUUUUUAAAGUGUAGAAAAAAUUCUGUGGGGAUGGAGUCCACACUUGUCAUGCCCCGGUGUUGUGUCUCUGUCUGCAUCUCUCCCUGCCUCUCUCACUUUGUCCUUAAUGAUGGGGGACAUCUUGCUUCAAACCUGCAUCUCUUUUGGUAGAUUUCUUUAUUAUUUUCUCUGUAGAUGUGUAGCUGAUGGCUUUCUCGCUCUAGAAGCUAUAUGACUUCACUGCUGAGUUCUCUAUGUAUAUCUGAAAAAAUAUCUUCAAGUUCUGAGUAGAAAUACAAUGGACCUAGCUCAUCCUUUUCAUGCCAGUGUGCACACUGACCCCUCAUGUAUCAAGUUACAGUCCAAAGAAUAAGGCAUCAGCCAUUCUAUUGUCCAGGGCUAUAAACACACAUUCAUAAACAAACAAGUAUAUCGGGUAAAAUGAGAUAGAGAUCAGCAAAAUGUGGAUGUCAGUUUUCUAUUUGGCAAUAGAGCAAUAUUACACAGGGUCAGGGCCAGUGCUGUGGCACAGUGGGUAAAGCCACCACCUGCAGUGCUUGCAUCACACAUGGGCUCCUGUUCGAGUGCUGGAUGCUCUGCUUCUGAUCCAGCUCUCUGCUAUUGCCUAGUAAAACAGUAGAAGCUGGCUCAAGUCCUUGGGCCCCUGCACUUGUGAUGGAAAACCCAGAGGAAGUUUCUGGCUCCUGGCUUCAGAUUGGUUCAGCUCCGGCAUUGUGGCCAACCGGGGAGUGCAUCAGGGGAUGGAAGACAUCUCUCACUGCCUCUCCUUUUCUCUCUGUGUAACUCUAACUUUCAAAUAAAUAAAUAAAUCUUUUAAAAAAUAUUGCAGAGGGCCUUCUGUUUCAUAUAUGACAUUGAUGCUUGAUCAGUAGCAAUUGGGAGGCUAUGAUUUUUAAAAAGUUGAAAGAUUUUAUUUAUUUGAAAGGCAGAAUUAGAAAGAGAGAGGUUUUCUAACACCUGGUUCACUCCCCAAAUGGCUGCAAUACCUAGGGCAUAUCUGGGCUGAAGCUAGGAACCAGGAACUUCAUCCAGGUUUCCCAUGUGGGUUCAGAGGCCCCAUCACUUGGAUCAUCUUCUACUACCUUUCCAGCAGGGAGCUGGAUCAGAAGUGGAGUGGUCGGGACUCGAACCAGCACCCAUAUAGGAUGCUGGCAUUAGAGGAUGUGGCUUAAUCUGCUGCGCCAAAAUGCCAGCCCCUCCAGUUUCUUAAUAAAAAUUCAGGAAUUUUAUAAUCCUUUAGUCCUGGACAUGUGAUAAAGAGUUCAUAAGGGGAAAAUAUAAAGAUACAGAGAAAGAGCCUGAGGACAGUAUAGUGAUCCAGAUCUAGACUAGCGAUGGUGAAUACUUCAGCUCAAAGUAACAGGUGUCAACAUUGAUAAAAAUCAAAAUAUUAACAGAAUAUCUUUCUGCCUCUAAAAUAGCACAUGUGAUGGAUUGUGCCCUUACAAAAAUGGAAAAAUGACCUAAGAAAGAUGACAAAAAGAUACAGAAUAUGAAGAAACAAAAAUGCAAAGCAGGACCCAGAAACUAGAGUUUGGGAAAAAAUGGAAAAAUAAUAAAAAGUGUAACUGUAGGGUUUCAUAAAUGCUAUACUGUUUUUCAAAUAGGAGAUAGAAGGGAAUACUGUUUUUUUUAAAUAAUGAAUAUUUUAUCCUAUAGAACAAAAUAAGCAUUUACAGGCAUGAGCAGUUGCAGGAAUCUAGAAGGAAGACAUAAAAGUUUGAAUUAUCUGUGUACAGGGAGAUAUCCAUAAUGUGAGACUUUAUAAACCCAGGAAUGGCUAGUAUUAGAAGAAUGGUUUUUACUGUCGAAUCCAUUCACUAUGGAGGCAUUACAGAAUGAAAUCUAUUUCAUUCACCUGUUAAGCAGCUCCUUGUGUCAGGUGUUGCACUAAAAACUCCAUAUAGGUUAUUAUAUUCAAUCUCAACAAUUCUGCUGAGAGGAGUAUAAAUUAUAAUCAUAUUGCAGACAAGAACAUCAAUGCUCAAAGGAGUUAAUGCUCAAGUUAUUAACUAUUUCAGUAAGAAGGAAAGAAAGAUCUUCCCUGUGAUACUGUUGAGAGCUGACAAGCACCAAGACAGAAUGGAGGAUACAAACCUUAAGUUUAUAAUAACAGAGGAAGGACUGUUAGGCAAAAGCCAAGGUUUUAGAUUUCUGAGAGCAGGUUUUUUUUUUUUUAAUAAUGGGUAUUUCUAAAAAUUUAGAGUAUUUUAUUGCAAAACAAAGAAGUUCUAUGGAUUAAAUCAAGUACAUAGGAAUAUUAACACAAAUUUGAAAAGAUUACAUCGGUAUUGGAACAAAUGGCUUAGGUCGAAUAUAGAUGUUAAAAUGGCAUUUAUAGGCCAGUGCCAAAGCUCACUUGGCUAAUCCUUCACCUGAGGCGCCAGCACACCGGGUUCUAGUCCCGGUUGGGGCGCUGGAUUCUGUCCCGAUUGCUCCUCUUCCUGUCCAGCUCUCUGCUGUGGCCCAGGAAGGCAGUGGAGGAUGACCCAAUUGCUUGGGCCCUGCACCCACAUGUGAGACCAGGAGGAAGCACCUGGCUCCUGGCUUUGGAUUGGCUCAGUGUGCCGGCCGUAGCAGCCAUUUGGGGGGUGAACAAGAGAAGGAAGACCUUUCUCUCUCUCUCUCUCUCUCUCUCUCUCUGUCCAACUCUGUCAAAAAAAAAAUGGCAUUUAUAGUUUCAGGAGUACUAAAUGACAUAGUAUGUUUAUCGUCUAUAAAAAGUUUUUCUAAAAAGGAUGGCAUAAUGCAUUUUAACAUGUUAAGAGCAUUAGAAAAGAGAAGUAUAGAAAUCCGUCCGUUGAAGAAAAUCUAAUAUUAACUAAAAAUGCAAUAGCACCUUUAAGCUGAAACUUCCAUCUCCAUUCUAAAGGUGUUCAGGGGAGAAAAAUAAGUUUCAGAAGAAACAACACCCUAGAGAUCACAGCUAUAUUAAGUAAGUGUAGUUUUUUUCAGUUAUGGACACAAUUUUAAGAUAUAAUUGCUUUCACUAUCAAAAACUAUGAAAAGAAUCAUAAAAUUAUUAUUUUUCUCUUAUUUCAGAAACAAAGUAAUAUUCUACAUAUUGUAAAUGAUAACCCCAUUAAAACUCUAAGAGAUUAUUAAAUUGAGGGUUUGUUAACAUUUACAAAAUAUAUGUACUAGGAGUUACUAUGACCUACCAAAAAAUCAAAUUUUCAUGUUUUUCAGCAUGAUUCAACAAGUUGUAGGCAUCUGUUCUUUGUACUGCAUAUGUUUCCACCUUUUUUCUUGUAAAAGAACUUUGAUUUUUUUGUGUGUGGCAUAAUCCUCACUCUACUUUCAGUUCAUCCGGCUGGUAGGGCGUUGUUCAAGCUUGCCAUUCGGAGAAUUCUACCUGUAGGUAAGCUGAUUAGAUCAGACAAUAAGCAGAGACCUGGGACUUUUCUGGAAUCAUUUCCUCUGACACAAAGUACAGAAAUGGGUGUUUGUGCUGACCAUUUUGUAACAUGAGAGAAACUGAGAAACCUGCCAACAAAAUGGAACAUUUCAACAGAGACAGGUGAGAGAGGAUUCUGUUAACAUGGUUUGAUAAUUUGGAAUUUUCAGAUAUCUAACAUUUUUUUGCCUGUGUCACUUUGAGUAAUGUGGAGCUAAAGAGUGCUAAUUUUGAAAUUGCUCCCUGGAAGUGGAGUAUUACAAUUGUUAAGAUUUAAACUGCGAAUUAAGUCAACUUGAAAAAGAAUUCAGUAUUAAGAUUUUCUCUAUUCUUGAUAGAAAGAUACUAAUAUCUGUUGUGCGUGAGAAAAAAUUUUUAUAUUACUAUGUUGCUACAAAUUCACUUGGUUCUCAGAUGUUUAGUUUGCUGAGGCUUGAGCUUUGGAAAGUCUUUACAGAAAUGCCAAUAUCUUGAAAUAUGUCAAAUAUUUUUUGUGCCUUUCAAUAAAUUGCUCCAAGAAGGAUACUAUUUUCUUCAUAAUAGCCUAUUUGAAGGCAAAAAAUAGAAACAAAUGUAACCUAGUGAAGGGAAGUUGUUUGUGCCUGCAGCCAAUGACACAAUGUGGAAAAGAAUCUGAUAACCCUUAGUUUGACAGCAUUCUAAAUAUUUUAAGAAUUUAUUUAUUUGAGAGGCAGCAAGACAGAUAGAAAGGAAUCUCCCAACUGUUGGUUCACUCCCAAAAUAUCUGCAACAACUGGGUCUGGGGGGAUAUCAGGAGCUAGGAACUCAAUCCUGGUCUCCCACAUUAGUGUCAGGAUCCCAAUUACUUGAUCUAUUCAUUGCUGUUUCCCAAGGUCUGCAUUGUCAAGAGACUAAAGCUAGAAGUUGAGUCACAUACUUCAGUGUGGAAUGCAAAUGUUCUAACUGCCCAUUUUAACCACUAGUCUAAAUGACUGCCCCUCUGUUAUUUUCACCAUGAAAUGGAAUAACUGGAAAAAACACCUUAAAGCAGGGAUUACAUCAUUCUACUUUUUCAGAACAAUGGCCUAGAAAGGAGUCAUUACACCAAGGGCUAGGGAGAUGGCAGGACACCAAGUUCUCUUAUGAAAAGGAAGAAAUUCCCAAUCAAUGGUCCAGAUUCCAGAAUUGUGACUUGACUAAAUCUCUGGUUUUGGUUAUCAGCCCAUGAAAUUUUACUUCACCAAUAUAUAUUGCAUUAUCAUCCAAUCAUAGGUUUUUGGACCAUGAAGAACAUUAUCUAGUAAAGACAAAGAAAUAAGCUUGUCACUCAGAAAUCCUGUGCUCAGGGUGAAAUGCAGAAAUUUAACUUUGAGUGAAACUUUCUUUCAGUGUCCUCAGUGACUUAAAGGAAUUUAGAUUGGGUGCACCAAAGCUCAAAUUCUGUCAUGAGUGAAAGUAAUUUAAAAAGUUAGAACAGCUCUCUUUCUGCAUUAAUGGUCCUCCAGACCUGCAGAAGUUCUUCUCCAAGAACACCUGUUUCCACCAUCAUGGUGUGGAAAAAACAACAGCAUUAUUCACAUAGUUGGGAAAGCAAUCUCGUUUUAAGACCGAAGAUUAAACACAGGAAAGCAUACAUAACUAUCAUAUGUUAUAGUGGAUUAAGGAUUAUGAAGUAAUUAUUCUCUAACUCUUGUUGUUUCAAACAUUUUGAUGUCAGCUAUUUAAAUCAAAUUUGAUUCUCCUCCAGAGAUGAGAGAUUGCUUUGGUUUAGAAAUCAUUGUAUCCGCCUAUUAUUUUUUUAAAAAAGAUUUAUUUGCUAUUUAUUUGAAAGGCAAAGUAAUGGAGAUAGAGAGGGAUAAGGAGAGAAUUCUGUCUGCUGGUUCACUCCUCAAAUGGCCAAAACAGGGACUCAAACAGGCACUCAGAAAGGAGAUGACAGUGUUUCAACCAUCAGCCUAACCUGCUGCAACCACAAUGCCGGUGCCUAGAUCUUUUUGUGAAGUCAGCCAAAAGGUUUGAAAAAUUACUAUUUUAGAACACACAAUAUUUAAGAUAAAAGAAUUAGGAUCCAAAACACAUUCGCAUGCAAGUACUUAUAUUUUUAUCUAGGAAUAAUUUUCAGUUUUGAAACAAUUUGUGCCAAAUAAAAUAAAAAUAAAAAAAUUCAUUAUUUAUAGAGCCAGUAAAAUAGCCUAGUCUAAAUGAGAAUUAGACAAACAAGGAUUAUACAGUCUACCAAAAAGAAAUUAAAAGAAGAAUGAUAAAUGAGAUUUCUAGAUUAUAACAUAUGUUCAAUAUUAUAUAAGGCAAUGUAAUCAUAACCUUUGAUUUCUUUUAUUUAUUUAUUUAUUUUUGUCAGGCAGAGUGGACAGAGAGAGAAAUACAGAGAGAAAGGUCUUCCUUUUCUGUUGGUUCACCCCCUUAUGGCCGCUGCAGCCAGCACGCUGUGGCCAGUGCACCGCACUGAUCCGAAGCCAGGAGCCAGGUGCUUCUCCUGGUCUCCCAUGCGGGUGCAGGGCCCAAGCACUUGGGCCAUCCUCCACUGCACUCCCGGGUUACAGCAGAGAGCUGGCCUGGAAGAGGAGCAACCGGGACAGAAUCCGGCGCCCCGGCCGGGACUAGAACCUGGGAUGCUGGCACCGCAGGCAGAGGAUUAGCUGGCCUGGAUUUCUUUUAUAAGAGUCAGAAACAUAUUUAAGAAUAUAAAUCCACAUGAUUGAUUUCUUAUCAGGAAUACCAAAGUAAAUAUAAACACAUUUCCCAAGACUAAGGGCCAACCAGCUACUUAUGUUGGUUAAUAUUCUGUUUUCAAAACGUUUUUACUAUAACACAGGUAUAUCCAUUAACUUCCUCUUAGUCUAUUGCCAUUUGGACUUAAAAAUAGUAGAACUGAGUAGUUGUGACAGAGAUCAUAUCUCCUGCACAGGCUAAAAUAUCUCUUUAAGGAAAAGUUUGCUUUUCCCUGAUAAUUGAAGAAUACUUGAAUAAAACAAUUUUAACAGUACCCUUAUUUUGAUAGUAAUGAAGAGCAUUCUUGAUGUCCAAAACACGUUGUUCUUUUUAUGUGUGGCUCCACUUAAUUACCUUGGCAUAGCAGGAGUUGCUAAUUAACUAAAUACGCCUCCUUUAGCACACAGUGUCAAGCUACUACUGAGGCUAAGAUAAUUAGCUUCUUUCAAGAAAUUUGAUUUAAAAAUCUCAUAAUGUAUGCUUUUUCUUCUACAAUUUGUUCUUCCAGUCCAAAUCUAGAAAACAAGUGAAAGAAACUCUCACCAUAUUUCCCCAGAUCUCUCAUGGAUUUAAGUAGCUACCUCUCUUUGGAGUCCAGCGUUUAUCAAAAGUCCCAGGUCAGCCAGGCAAUGACCUCUCUUAACACUUGGUAGAUUAAUACCCUGGAAACUGCAACUUUCAAGUCUGUUUCCUUGGAAAGAUUUGUCAUUGACUAAAACGUAUAAAGUAGAAUCCUCUUUCAUUAACGAAGAGCCUAUAUUUAGAUUGAUUUAUUAUCAAACAUAGCCCUCCAGGUAUGAUCUUGAUUAUUAGAGAACCAAGUUUCUCAAUUUUAUCCCAGUAUAGAGAAUUCAAUUGUAUUGUGCUUAUGUGAAUGACAUUAUUAUGAAAAAUAAGGAGACUGAGGAAAAGUAAUAGUUGCCAAAGUUUAAGGAGUUACUGAAAGUACACUAAUUGAAACAAUGAUUAAUUUUAGUUUGUAAAACUGUAGUCACCAGGGUUGGUGCUGUGGCAUAGUAGCACCCAUACGCUACUGCGUUAUCAGUGUUUCAUAUGCCCAGCAGUUCAAGGCCAGGCUGCUCCACUUCCGACCCAGCUCUGGCUUUUGAGGCCAUUUGGAGAGUGAACCAACAGUUCAAAUACCUCUCUCUGUCUCUCCCUCUCUUUGUCUGUAACUCUGCCUCUCAAAUAAAUAAGAAAUAUUUAAAAAGAAAAAAAACCAACUGUAUUCACCAAGUUAAGGAUUAGGGACAGAUCAAGAUAUCACAUAGGAUCAUAAGAAGAAGAAUAACUUCAACAAUAUCACAAGUAAAAACAAAUCUUUUUAUCACUUUUUCAAUAAUUUAUAAUCUAAAAAUAUUCUCAUAGAUUUUGUGACAAUAGUUUGAUUUCACGAAAUCUCUUUGCUUCUGGACUAAAAGGAAUCCUGGAACUCCUACUUAGUCUCAUUUUACCAGUUGCAGAGGGAAGGGCAGCUGCAGGAUUGAGUUUCAUGAGUUCUUUUCCUCAACACAGUAUAGAAAUAAAAAGCUGGCAAAUGAUUUGCAAAGAUACUUGGCAAGCGACAGAAUGUGGUCCAAGAAGAGAGCAGGUGGAGUGCAAGAAUGACCAAGAGCUACUCAUCUGAUAUGCACAUGAAAAAUGGAGAAAGACAAAGAAUCCUGUUAAAGAAAAUGCUAAUUUGUGCUGGGAAGUCAUGAAAAGCUACUAAAAAUACAACUUGCUGGAAAUGCAACAUCUCGUGAUAAGGAAUAACUGGCUAGGAGAAUCUGGGCUCUGUUUCUGGCUCUCAUAGAGCAAGGUAAGCUGAAGCACUUAUCUGCGUUCUCCAUGUUUCCCUGGGGUAUAAAUCUCAGAAAUGACUGCUUUUCAGGGCCUGACAGUUGCUGUGCAAGCAUGGUCACAUGUGGGACUUCAUGAAUGAAUUUUGGGGUGACGUAAUUCCUUUCAUAAAAGUAUCUGAACCUUUUAAAUGAGUGAAAUCUGAAUGAGUCAAGGGAAUAAAAGAGGGAUCACCAUUAAGGAUUUAAAAAAACAUAAAUGGGUUAUGAAAAGCAAUGAACAAUGAUAUAUUUCCCAAAGUCAAAUGGGCAGAUCUAAUAUAUAGGGGGGAUAAAAACUAGCAUAAUACAAAGUUUACUAAAAAGGGGAGACCAAAUGUUAGAUUCUUAAAAAUUCAAAUAAUAUUUAGAGUCUGCCUUUUCUCGUCUCCUUCCCAUCACACUGUCCUCUUUCAGCUGUGUAUAUGUUACUACUAUUAAAAUUCAGUGAAUUAAAAAGCAAUGAUCUUUUUAGGAUGUUUAAAUAAUAUGAGUAUAUUGGCAUAAAUGUUAAAAGACAAAAACAAAACAAAAACCGAAAAAACCAGGAACAGAGUAGCUGGUAGACUCCAAAUACAAAUAAAAAAGGAAAUGGAAAGACUAAUUUCAUGGCAUGCUUAUAUUAUAUUGUACGUCUUUAAAAUGUCCAAAUAUUACAUGUUAUUCUAAGUUAAAAAGUAAACUUAAGAGGACUGGCAUUGUGGCACAGCUAGUUAAUCACCACCUGUGAUACUUCCAAACCAUAUUAUAGUUCCUGUUCAAGUCCUAGAUGCUCCAUUUUCAAUCUGACCCAAAAGCAUAGACAUCCAUCACCCACAGGAAAAACCAGGAUGGAAUUUCAGGCUCCUGGCUUUAGCUUGGCCUAGUCCUAGCUGUUGCCAGCAUUUAUGAAGUGAACCAGUUGAUGAGCGAUCCAUUUCUUUAUCUUGCUGUC